Long non-coding RNA from Cebus imitator (Panamanian white-faced capuchin), 661 nucleotides. RefSeq lists it as uncharacterized. NCBI's taxonomy places the organism in Eukaryota, Metazoa, Chordata, Mammalia, Primates, Cebidae. The record is from RefSeq and is a predicted model, not a curated record. The transcript has 3 exons.
GUGUAUUUAUUCCAAACAGAGACUGAGAGGUGACAGCUUCGAGUCUCAUCGGGAAGGAAACACCUCGCAAGCCAAGCACAAAGCGGAUGCAGCAGAUGGGAACAGUGUCACUGAACCCUAUCAAUGGCAGAGCACAAGAACAUGAAUUUCUGCUGCUGGGGAGGCAGUGAAAUGAAUCCUGACCCACUGUUGGUGCUAGACUUCAAGAGGAUUUAAUCAUGCUUCCGGUGUCCAUGGGCAGAUGAACAUACAGGAAGACCCCAUGAAGGAUUCACAUUCAUGACAUGGUUUUGGUCAUGCUUUGCCAGAGUCACCAUCUGAGGACUUACUGGAGGUCUUAUAAAUAAUUGUAGUUUCUUGCACAACAUUGCUUCUAACCAAGGACCCCAUGUUAAAUAAUGGGUUAUAGCAGAUGAGAAUCACAGGUCUUACUGUGUGAUGCCCAACACCCAGAAGCAGCUGGCCUUACAGAAUAGUAGAAUGACCUAUUAUACUUCACUCAUGCCUCCAGUUAAAUAAAUGCUUUCAAUAUAAAGUGCUGCCUGUAAGAUUAAGAAUAUUCUUUGAACCAGCUCAAUAUAUGAUGCAGUUCUUCCUUUAGCCAGAGUACAUGAGUCAGGGAACUAAGCAGUAGAAUUGAAGAUGGAACACCUCACAAAUA